UUUUAGUAGUUCCUUCGGGGAGGAAGAAAUUAGUGACUGAGUGGCGGACGGGUGAGGUAACGACGUGGGCGAACCUAGCCCCGACGUACAGGGGGAGUAACGAAGCCGGAAACGGACUGCUAAAACCGACAUAAGCGCGCAAGGGCGCAUGGCCUGGUGUGAAAAACUCCGGUGGUAGUGGGAUGGGCCCGCGUCUGAUUAGCUAGUUGGCGGGGGAGAGGCCCACCAAGGCGACGAUCAGUAGCCGACCUGAGAGGGUGGCCGGCCACAUUGGGACUGAGACACGGCCCAAACUCCUACGGGAGGCAGCAGUGGGGAAUAUUGCACAAUGGGGGAAAUCCUGAUGCAGCGACGCCGCGUGAGCGGAGAAGUAUUUCGGUAUGUAAAGCUCUAUCAGCAGGGAAGAAAAAUGACGGUACCUGAGUAAGAAGCACCGGCCAAAUACGUG
RNAcentral lists this ribosomal RNA (448 nucleotides) under uncultured Lachnospiraceae bacterium. RNAcentral's name for it is "bacterial SSU rRNA". It matches the Rfam family "Bacterial small subunit ribosomal RNA", at positions 65 to 507 of the family's 1533-position model. Lineage: Bacteria; Bacillati; Bacillota; Clostridia; Lachnospirales; Lachnospiraceae. The record is from RNAcentral.